CCUACGGGGGGCAGCAGUGAGGAAUAUUGGUCAAUGGCCGCAGGUCUGAACCAGCCAAGUCGCGUGAGGGAUGACGGUCCUAUGGGUUGUAAACCUCUUUUGUCAGGGAGCAAAGGGCGCCACGUGUGGCGUUUUGCGAGUACCUGAAGAAAAAGCAUCGGCUAACUCCGUGCCAGCAGCCGCGGUAAUACGGAGGAUGCGAGCGUUAUCCGGAUUUAUUGGGUUUAAAGGGUGCGCAGGCGGAAUGUCAAGUCAGCGGUAAAAUUUCGGGGCUCAACCCCGUCGUGCCGUGGGAACUGGCGUGCUUGAGUGAGCGAGAAGUAUGCGGAAUGCGUGGUGUAGCGGUGAAAUGCAUAGAUAUCACGCAGAACUCCGAUUGCGAAGGCAGCAUACCGGCGCUCAACUGACGCUCAUGCACGAAAGCGUGGGUAUCGAACAGGAUUAGAUACCCCGGGUAGUC
Molecule: ribosomal RNA, 460 nt
Filed under: uncultured bacterium
Lineage: Bacteria
Description: partial 16S ribosomal RNA
Rfam family: Bacterial small subunit ribosomal RNA
Source: RNAcentral